RNAcentral lists this ribosomal RNA (497 nucleotides) under uncultured bacterium. RNAcentral describes it as "partial 16S ribosomal RNA". It matches the Rfam family "Bacterial small subunit ribosomal RNA", at positions 29 to 507 of the family's 1533-position model. The record is from RNAcentral.
AAUGAACGCUGGCGGCAUGCCUAACACAUGCAAGUCGAACGAACACACGGGGAUCUUUCUCCUCUGACGUUGUCGCCCGACGGGUUCGUAACUCUUGGAUAACCUACCUAUUAGACUUGGCUAACUACGCGGAACCGUAACUAAUACCGGAUAAUAUAUUGCACCGCAUGGUUCCAUCGUUAAAUUCGGUUUUGCUUUCACUAAUAGCUGACUCCGCGCCGCAUUAGUUAGUUGGUGAGGUAACGGCUUAACAACGCAACGAUGCGUAGCCGACCUGAGAGGGUGAUCGGACACACUGGAAGUGAGACACGGUCCAGACUCCGACGGGAGGAAGCAGUAGGGAAUCUUACGCAAGGGGCGAAAGGGGGACGGAGCAAAGCCGCGGGAGUGAUGAAGGUGUUCGGAUCGUAAAGCUAUGUUAUUAGGAAAGAAGAAAAGUGGAAGUAACUAGGCACGUAAUGACGGUACCUAAAGAAAAAGCCACGGCUAACUACGUG